UUUGAGUCCGGCUUAAAAUCGCCUCAGAUUAUGGCGAAUGGCCGGGGCAGCCCGCAGGGACGCGGGCUGAGGCGAAACGAGACAGGAUGUCGAGUCGAGCCGUACCCGAAAAGCCAGUCGCCAUAAUCUGAGGUUCCGCGUAGCGGCGAUUUUU
This is a regulatory RNA element of Pluralibacter gergoviae, 154 nucleotides long. NCBI's taxonomy places the organism in Bacteria, Pseudomonadati, Pseudomonadota, Gammaproteobacteria, Enterobacterales, Enterobacteriaceae. The record is from Rfam.